AAUACCAGACUCUUCUACCUUGUUUGAUCCUGUGAUGUCGCUUAUUCUCUAUACCAAGUGAAUUCUGAAUGGUCUCAUUACUGGUUUGACCCGAAACAUGGGUGGCUACCUACAGUCUCUGGUUAUGGAGGGGUACUCUCAUGAAGACUACCUGCAGAAAUUCCUGUAAAGAACCUAGCUAGAGGUUGUCAUAAUGGAAAUCAGAGUACAGUGAAGAGAAAGAAAUUAGAAUAAUCUAGCUAAAAGGAUUAAAUAUAAAUGAGGGGGAGAUGAAUAUUGACUUUAUUUUUACCAGACGUUUGAAUUCCGUCCCUCUCUGACCCUUGACUUAAAGAUGUCUUGCCACAUCUGGUCUUUAUUCUAACAUAAUACAAUAAACUGGAGCUCCUGCCGCAUCCCCCUCCUCUAAAAAUGCUGGAAGUGUAAGAGCAUAUAAGCUGCGUGACAUAAGGGAAAAGGCUGAAUCAGAACUCACUUACAUGUGUUUUGAUCCGUCUUAGUGACACAACUCAAGUGUUUACAAUAACCGGCUCUGACUGCUGAUUCCACCAUGAUUUGGUACCAUGACGAGGAGAAAUUAUUUUUCUGGCAGUUCGUUUGCCACGAUGACCUGAUAUACAGAUGACCGUAGUAUAAUUAAAAUUAAUUAUAAUUUUAACAAGAACCUGCCCUGUUGACAGAUUCCAUUGUGCCGCAGUUUUUUAACAUACAUUAUGAUGAGGAUGAAAGAACUGCAAACUCGAGCGGUUCUUUUGUUUCUGCGCCUCCUUUUACUUGAAAAGCUUUCAGAAGGCUUUUGAGAGAUGACACAGUUCUCAUAGCAACAUUAUGUGAUUCUCUUCUUCUGCCAAGAAACUCAUAGCUGAAAUAUGGAACAAAACAAAUGUCUAACCUGAUCUUGGUUUUGGAUUAUGGAAGGCAAAGCAUUUUCUAUAUCAAAGUUGCAUAUUUCAUUUUUUUGUCCAUCUCAGAAAUCGAAUCGGCAUUUUAUAUUCUAUUUCUAAUUAGUUGCAGUGAAGCAAAGCCAUAAUCCUACUUUCUUUAUCAGUACAAACCUUCACCAUUUCUCCCGCAUAUGCUUUCGCCAUAGUUUUUCGGCAACGAGUUUGCUUAAUUCAUUCUCCCCUACCUCUAGUCCAUCUUGCGCAUGAUUGACAGAAUGGUCUUUUUUUUUUUUUUUUUUUAUGGCCAUACCCGCAGCAUAUGGAAGUUCCUAGGCUAGAGGUCUAAUUGAAACUGCAGCUGCCAGCCUACACCACAGCCGCAGCCACAGCCACAGCCACAGCAACACGGGAUCCGAGCUGCAUCUGCCACCUACACUGCAGCUCAUGGCAACUCCAGCUGUGGAUCCUUAACCAGAGCAGAGUGGGGCCAAGGAUCAAACCUGCAUCCUCACAGAUGCUAGUCAGGUUCAUUACUGCUGAGCCACAUGGGAACUCCCAGAGUGGUCUUUUUAAAACACAAAUUUGUUUUGUCAUCCCUCUGCUCAAAAUUCUUAACUAGACUCCCUUCUUUACAAUAUAGCAAACCCAACUCCUUAGCAUGAUGGAGAAGGAUCUCUGCAACCUCUCUUCUCACCAUUUUUAGCAUCCUUACCCACCAUUUCCUCUAGAGGCCUUUUGUAAUCCAGGAAUUUGGAACUUGUCACAGUUCGGUGCUUUGGCAUAAUCAUAUGGCAUAGAUGAGCUCACUCAAGACUCAGCUUGCAUUUUACCUUCUGUGGCACUCUGACUUCUCAGUGUUAAAUAGUUCAUCCUUGCUCUGUAGUCUUUUGAAACUUCUACUAAAAUAACAUCCCAUUUCAAUAGUUCAAUUUAUGUAUCCACUGCCCCACAACUGAAUUUCUCUCUCUUUGUAGUCUCAGUGUUCAGCUAGCACAUAAUAGGACUUCCAUAAAUGUUUUUGAAUGAAAGAAGGGAAUAUAGAGCCCAGACUUCUCUGUAUUUCUAAACCAUCACAAGUGAAUGCUUUUGACUUCCCCAAGAGCCCACACGAAGGAUGUGUGUGUUUAGGAAGGAGCACGCAGGCGCUCUGGGAGAACCAAUAACACAGAACAGCAGGGAAGAGCCAUUGCUUUGGGAAGGAUAAGCAUCUGUUAGCUGUUGAGCAGAAAUGGUUACCAAAGCUGAAUUCUUGUUCUUAAAAUCGAGGCUUAUAAAUACAAUUUUCACAUAAGUGCUGAAUUCUUUUUAGGCUAUGCCCUCAAGAUGCCCUAAUGGUCUUUCUCCUUGGCAGAUAGUCCAAUGUAUACCAUCUACAUAAACACCGGCUCAUUACCAACACACAGGGAUGGACUUGAGAAAGAGUUUUUAAAAAAAUACAGUUAUGAAGGUGAAAUUUUCUGAAAAUAUUUUUCAACCAGAGACAGAGACUGAUUUUGUGUGGUUUCAGGUCAUUUUAUAGUCAGUGAUGAUUUCAUUUUCAUUAUGCAAAUGUAAGAUGGCAUGUUUGUCACUAUUAAUCACUGCAUAUAGAACAUAAAAAGUAUUACCUAUGUGUCUGUUUUUCUUUUCUGAAUCUAUAAAGCCUUUCUACCCUGUCUCCAAAUCAUGAUAAAAGGCAACACAAAAAACCCCUUAAAGGUAAUGAUUUUAAAAUAAGCUCAAUAUUGGCAGGUAAUGAAAUUAAAUGGCCUCUUACUUCACUCACUUAAUAGACAUUUUUCUACCUGCUCUACACUUGGCACUCAGUUAGUGCUGGGGAUACAAACAACAUAAGACAUAGCUCUUGACUGAUAGAGUUCAAGUUCAUUUUCAUCGUUAUUUCCCUACAGUCUGUUUAAGAAACUGAGAAGACAUGUUUUUAAACCAAGUAUUAUUUCUCAGGAUUUUUUUUCAAGACGUGGUCACCUUCCACUCAAAACACUAACAGAAUUCUGUGUCGUAAAGACGUCAUCCCAUGUUUAUGGGCACAGUUUUUGUACUUUCCAGUCAACCACAAAUACUGAGUGCUACAUGUCAAGUCCAUCUUUCAUCAAUCCUAUAGAAUUCCAUUUCCACAACCACAGGUGCUAUGUGGAAUCCAAGUGACUAAUGAAUUAGUAAGACACAAGUUAAAUUUCCAGUCCACCAUGGGAUGGCAUAUAUCCUUACUAAUGACACCUACACCAACAUAUGAGCUAUGCCUUGGGAACCUUCAGCAAAGAGAAUACGUUCUAACACAAUGCUUUCUGGUGUACUUCAAAGGCUCCAUGUGAAGUUAGGAGUUGGUGUUUCCACUUCGAUUAUUUUUUAUGGGGAGCAGAGAGUCAUGAUAUUUAACAGGAGCAUAUGUCUCUAAGCAUAUAGUAAAUAUACGACUGGUAUUUGGGGUGCCACAAUGCACUGAUACAUAGAUGAAAAAAACCAAAAAUAUUUGAGUUAUAAAAAAUUCUCUGAGUAUUUCCUGAGGGUUAGGCAAUAGGGUUCCUUUAUAAGACAGAAAAAACUACUGUCUGCAUGCAAAAAAUCUUCCUUGUGUGUACAUUUGCAUUUUGAUAGGCAUAUUUUGAAGUCACCGUUUCCCAUCAGUAUGAAGUAUCAACCAUCUCUAUGUUCUCUAGCAAAGGAAAAUUCUUAGUUUGAUACAGCUUUCCUCUGUGUUUGAUGUUGGGAAAUGUCCGCAAAGAAGGAGGCUCGGAAAGCUGGACACUUGAACCUUAAAUGCAGCAUAGUCAGCUUACCUUUCACUAAAAGAGAAUCCGUCAUUAUUUGCCUCCUAUUUAUCCUCAUGUUGAAAACCUAAAUGUGUAGUUCCUUUUGUCCCCGGCAUCCCAGAAGAUAUAGCUUCAGUCUAGCCUUUGCCAUAUUAUUUAUAGCUAAGAAUUUGCUACAUUUUGGUAGUCUGUUUUGAAACUUGUAUCUUAAAGAUGGAGAUCAUGUCUAUUUAUUACACAGUGGGCUCUGUUUGCUGCAGAAAAGAGUGAAACUUUUAAACUGCUUAGCACACACUUGCCAGUGAAAUAUACCUGACAGAGCAGAGGUUCUAACUUUGGCUCUACUGACUUUUAAUAAUGGUAAGAAACCGUGACUUUUGUUUGUUUACAUGCUGUUUACAAUGGCAUCAUUUUUUAAAUAUAUACAACAAUUGAGAUAUUUAUUGCAUACUAUUUUAAAGAUGUUUUAUGUGUUUUCACCUUUGGAAUAUAUUGUUACUGUUCCUUACACCGAUACUUUGGGUGGCUUUGUUAAUGUACCUACUAAUUUUUAUGACUACUAAGUGACCAGUUUUCCGUGCCUUUUAUUGUGGGAUGCAUGACUAUGUAUUUAUUGUAUGGAAGUCACGGAUGCGUGUAUUUUUGUACUUUGCCGAGAGUAAUGGUUGAUCUCGAUGGACGUGAUGAUGAGAGAUGCCUUUCCCAGGGGGCACUACCUUGAGAUCGUCCUUCUCAAAUAAAAAGAAUGCAUUUG
This 4388-nucleotide long non-coding RNA is filed under the name Sus scrofa (pig). RNAcentral describes it as "lncRNA (ENSSSCG00000060520.1)". Lineage: Eukaryota; Metazoa; Chordata; Mammalia; Artiodactyla; Suidae. The record is from RNAcentral.